Molecule: ribosomal RNA, 460 nt
Filed under: uncultured bacterium
Lineage: Bacteria
Description: partial 16S ribosomal RNA
Rfam family: Bacterial small subunit ribosomal RNA
Source: RNAcentral
CCUACGGGAGGCAGCAGUGAGGAAUAUUGGUCAAUGGACGCAAGUCUGAACCAGCCAUGCCGCGUGCAGGAAGACGGCUCUAUGAGUUGUAAACUGCUUUUGUACGAGGGUAAAUCCCGAUACGUGUAUCGGGUUGAAAGUAUCGUACGAAUAAGGAUCGGCUAACUCCGUGCCAGCAGCCGCGGUAAUACGGAGGAUUGAAGCGUUAUCCGGAUUGAUUGGGUUUAAAGGGUGCGUAGGCGGUGCGAUAAGUUAGAGGUGAAAGCCCGGGGCUGAACUCCGGCACUGCCUCUGAUACUGUCGGGCUAGAGUUUAGUUGCGGGAGGCGGAAUGUAUGGUGUAGCGGUGAAAUGCAUAGAGAUCAUACAGAACACCGAUUGCGAAGGCAGCUUACCAAACUACGACUGACGUUGAGGCACGAAAGCGUGGGGAGCAAACAGGAUUAGAUACCCCAGUAGUC